Pongo pygmaeus (Bornean orangutan) is the source of this 960-nucleotide long non-coding RNA. RefSeq lists it as uncharacterized. The transcript is spliced from 3 exons. The record is from RefSeq and is a predicted model, not a curated record. Lineage: Eukaryota; Metazoa; Chordata; Mammalia; Primates; Hominidae.
CCAGCACUUUGGGAGGCCAAGGUGGGAGGAUCACUUGAGGCCAGGCGUUAAGAAACCAGCCUGGACAACAUACAGAGACGGGGUUUCGCCAUGUUGGCCGGGCUGGUCUCAAACUCCUGACCUCAAGCAAUCCACCCUCCUCGGCCUCCCAAGGUGUUGGGAUUACAAGCGUGAGCCACCGUGCCCAGCCACAGAGACAUUUUUGAAGGUGAUUUGGAGGGUGGAAGACAGGCAGCAGCCAUCUGGUUGCUUACCUGCUGGCUGACCUCUUGGGCAUGGGGCAGCAGCUGGGCUUGUACCUCCUCCAGCUUCUCCUGAUCCUCUUUCAAGUUUCUCUGACUCCUGGCCCAGGUGUGUGUUAAGCUCUGCGAGGGCACCAGCUUCUCCCACAAGACACCCACAUCAUCAAGGCUGGAGACAGUUCUGCUCUGUCCUUAUGGGUUCCACCUCAUGUUCUUGGACUCUAGCUUGUUCUUGCUCUCCCUGGAGUUUUAUUUCCCUCUUCCUUUCCACCCUGCCUGCCCUGCAGACUUCAAACUCCAGCAUCAGAUGCAAGGCCUCACAUGAUCAAGAUCCUCUCCUGCUUCUUUAGAGAAUGUGCUCCAUCAAAAAGAGAGAAUAAACCAAGAAGAGGAAGACAGAGGAUCCGGAAACAGGGGUGAUGAGGCACGGAAGUCCCAAGAUGACAGCUGUGCAUCAGGCCUUCAGCAGGCAGGAUGGGAGCAGAAGGAUGGGGGGCUCUGGGAGUGUCUCCAAGAAAGAAAAAGAAACUGAUCAAAUAUCUAAUUUUUAAAAUAUGUUGAGGGGAAAUUUAUACUUCUGCAACAAAUUUUAGGAUAUCGUAAUAGAAACUAAGAAAAUAAACAAAUAAAAAAAAACAAAAAAAACAAAAAACAAGGUAAUUAUCAACCCCGGGAGAACAAAGAUUGUAUGAGAAAAGAAAUAAAAACAGAAUUCAGU